CCAGUUUGUCCAAGACAUUUGCAUUCAUUUCGCUCAAAUUUUAUGAUGUCAUCGUGAACCACUAAUCCUUUCUUUUGCUAAUCUAUAACUUGCAAAGCUAAUUCAGUAUAAAUGCUGAAUUUUUCAAAUCAGAUUUUACAAACACACAUAAAAAGUAUUGAGCAAGUAAGAUUUCCAUGAAAUAAACCAUAACAUGGUUAGGAAGAGCCAACUACUUCAAAUAAGAUAAUAACAGAAGAGUGACCAAGAUGACUUCUGGAUGAGAAUUUUUAUUUCUAUCCUCCCAAUUUUUGUUUGACAGACUUUCUGUUUUAUAGCAAGAUUUAUUGCAAAGAGUGAAAGAACAAAGCUUCCACACUGUGGAAGGUGACCCAAGCAGGUUGCCGCUGCUGUCCC
RNAcentral lists this long non-coding RNA (396 nucleotides) under Homo sapiens (human). RNAcentral describes it as "non-protein coding lnc-OLFM4-12:1". Lineage: Eukaryota; Metazoa; Chordata; Mammalia; Primates; Hominidae. The record is from RNAcentral.